AGAGUUUGAUUAUGGCUCAGGAUGAACGCUAGCUACAGGCUUAACACAUGCAAGUCGUGGGGCAGCAUGUUGGUUGCUUGCAACCAAUGAUGGCGACCGGCGCACGGGUGAGUAACGCGUAUCCAACCUUCCCUAUAGUAGAGGAUAGCCCGGCGAAAGUCGGAUUAAUACUCUAUGUUUUCCAAUGCAGACAUCUAAAAUGGAACAAAGGUUCACCGCUAUAGGAUGGGGAUGCGUCUGAUUAGAUAGUCGGCGGGGUAACGGCCCACCGAGUCGACGAUCAGUAGGGUUCUGAGAGGAAGGUCCCCCACAUUGGAACUGAGACACGGUCCAAACUCCUACGGGAGGCAGCAGUGAGGAAUAUUGGUCAAUGGGCGAGAGCCUGAACCAGCCAAGUAGCGUGCAGGAUGACGGCCCUAUGGGUUGUAAACUGCUUUUAUACAGGGAUAAAGUGACGUACGUGUACGUUUUUGUAGGUACUGUAUGAAUAAGGACCGGCUAAUUCCGUGCCAGCCGCAGC
Molecule: ribosomal RNA, 520 nt
Filed under: uncultured bacterium
Lineage: Bacteria
Description: bacterial SSU rRNA
Rfam family: Bacterial small subunit ribosomal RNA
Source: RNAcentral